Molecule: long non-coding RNA, 1129 nt
Organism: Pristis pectinata (smalltooth sawfish)
Lineage: Eukaryota; Metazoa; Chordata; Chondrichthyes; Rhinopristiformes; Pristidae
Exons: 6
Source: RefSeq, a predicted model, not a curated record
GAGCCAAUGAACUCAGCACAAAGUGGGAAGUGGAUCUUGGACUUCCUAUCCUAGUUUGAGUCCAUUUAAUGUUAUCACCUACAUCAAGACCAGUACCUUCUGAACAAGUACAGGUCUAUAGAAAUAAUGAGUCACUGCUGCAGAUCUUGCAGAUGAUGCAAAGCCAGAAAGGAAUGGAACUACUCAGGUGCUGCCUGACCUGCUGAGUAUUUCGACUUGCUAAUUCAGACUUCCACCAUCCAUAGAUUUUGUUUUUGCAUCUUAAAUUGCACUUGAGUUUCCUGAUUUCAGCUGGGACAGUAAAUGGGCCACUUGCACUGCAUCAAAAGUGGGGCGAGAAAAACCAUCCACAUUUUCCUUUGUUUCUAUUGCGUUUCAAAACUCUGAGAAGGAUGGAAGAUUGGGACGCUACCUGGAAAACCUGGAAGGGAGCUGGACCUUGUCUUUCCAAUGCCAUUGGCUGAUGAUGGGUGGGAAAAUCCUGGACAAGAUUACAGGGAACGCAGGGCUUUCUAUUGAUCCUUCCUGAAGAGCACUAUCAAAGCAACGUUAGCUGAUUAUUCCCAUACCUGACUAAAAGUCAAUCUCUUGUGCAGCAGGAGUGGAAAGUCACUGUUCGACAAGACAGAUUGUUUGAGCUCUUUUGCUUGCUCUUGAUGAAAGUUAAGUUAUGAUAUGGAAACAUGACCUCAGGACAUCUCUUUUGAAGUGAAAUCACAACUGUAAUACAGGACAUGUGGCAGCCAAUUUGUGCACAGCACAUGACCAAAUACAAGUAAAGAUACACGAAUGCUGGAAAUCUCUGGUUGUUUCAUGCAGAGAUUUUUUUUAUUUAUCAGAAGUCAUGGACCUGAAAGAUCCUGACACGCUCCUAAAGGUAUGGUUUCCUAGCUGACAGAUCAUUCCACCUAUGCCGUGGCCAUUGCUCACCUGCGAGCUUUAUAUCAGCAGGCUUGUCAAGCACACAGCAUCUCAGCGGAACCUGCAGCUGAUGUCCACACGAAAAGCACAUUUCCAGCAGAGUUUGUUGGUCAACAAUUAGGAUUGGAAACUAAGAUGCUGUUUUUGGCCAUCUUUUUCCAAACAAAGGCUAAUUUAUCUUUGAUUCUCCUAACUGAGAUCAGCAAAA